This 647-nucleotide ribosomal RNA is filed under the name Paenibacillus sp. S150. RNAcentral's name for it is "partial 23S ribosomal RNA". It matches the Rfam family "Bacterial large subunit ribosomal RNA", at positions 1593 to 2238 of the family's 2925-position model. The record is from RNAcentral. Lineage: Bacteria; Bacillati; Bacillota; Bacilli; Caryophanales; Paenibacillaceae.
CAUGAUCUCACACUGCCAAGAAAAGCCUCUAGCCAGGAGAAGGUGCCCGUACCGCAAACCGACACAGGUAGGCGAGAAGAGAAUUCUAAGGCGCGCGGAAGAACUCUCGUUAAGGAACUCGGCAAAAUGACCCCGUAACUUCGGGAGAAGGGGUGCCUCGGUAGGGUGAAUAGCCCGAGGGGGCCGCAGUGAAAAGGCCCAAGCGACUGUUUAGCAAAAACACAGGUCUGUGCGAAGCCGUAAGGCGAAGUAUACGGGCUGACGCCUGCCCGGUGCUGGAAGGUUAAGGGGAGCGGUUAGGAGCAAUCCGAAGCUGUGAACCGAAGCCCCAGUAAACGGCGGCCGUAACUAUAACGGUCCUAAGGUAGCGAAAUUCCUUGUCAGGUAAAUUCUGACCCGCACGAAUGGCGUAACGACUUGGGCGCUGUCUCAACGAGAGAUCCGGUGAAAUUUUAAUACCUGUGAAGAUGCAGGUUACCCGCGACAAGACGGAAAGACCCCAUGGAGCUUUACUGCAGCUUGAUAUUGAAUUUGGGUACGAUCUGUACAGGAUAGGUGGGAGCCGUAGAGGCCGGAGCGCAAGCUUGGGCGGAGGCGCCGUUGGGAUACCACCCUGAUCGUAUCUAGGUUCUAACCUGGUACCCUAA